This 446-nucleotide ribosomal RNA is filed under the name uncultured bacterium. RNAcentral's name for it is "partial 16S ribosomal RNA". It matches the Rfam family "Bacterial small subunit ribosomal RNA", at positions 330 to 792 of the family's 1533-position model. The record is from RNAcentral.
GCCAGACUCCUACGGGAGGCAGCAGUGGGGGAUAUUGCACAAUGGGGGGAACCCUGAUGCAGCGACGCCGCGUGGGUGAAGGAGCGUUUCGGCGCGUAAAGCCCUCUCGGUAGGGAAGAAGGAGGACGGUACCUGACUAAGAAGCCCCGGCUAACUACGUGCCAGCAGCCGCGGUAAUACGUAGGGGGCAAGCGUUAUCCGGAUUUACUGGGUGUAAAGGGGGCGCAGACGGCAGCGCAAGCCAGGAGUGAAAGCCCGGGGCCCAACCCCGGAACUGCUUUGGAAACUGUGCAGCUGGAGUGCAGGAGAGGUAAGCGGAAUUCCUAGUGUAGCGGUGAAAUGCGUAGAUAUUAGGAGGAACACCAGUGGCGAAGGCGGCUUACUGGACUGUAACUGACGUUGAGGCUCGAAAGCGUGGGGAGCAAACAGGAUUAGAUACCCUCGUA